UGGGGAAUAUUGGACAAUGGGCGAAAGCCUGAUCCAGCCAUGCCGCGUGUGUGCAGAAGGUCUUCGGAUUGUAAAGCACUUUAAGUUGGGAGGAAGGGCAGUAAGCGAAUACCUUGCUGUUUUGACGUUACAGACAGAAUAAGCACCGGCUAACUCUGUGCCAGCAGCCGCGGUAAUACAGAGGGUGCAAGCGUUAAUCGGAAUUACUGGGCGUAAAGCGCGCGUAGGUGGUUCGUUAAGUUGAAUGUGAAAGCCCCGGGCUCAACCUGGGAACUGCAUCCAAAACUGGCGAGCUAGAGUAGGGCAGAGGGUGGUGGAAUUUCCUGUGUAGCGGUGAAAUGCGUAGAUAUAGGAAGGAACACCAGUGGCGAAGGCGACCACCUGGGCUCAUACUGACACUGAGGUGCGAAAGCGUGGGGAGCAAACAGG
RNAcentral lists this ribosomal RNA (429 nucleotides) under Pseudomonadota bacterium. Its description in RNAcentral is "Proteobacteria bacterium partial 16S ribosomal RNA". It matches the Rfam family "Bacterial small subunit ribosomal RNA", at positions 355 to 776 of the family's 1533-position model. Lineage: Bacteria; Pseudomonadati; Pseudomonadota. The record is from RNAcentral.